CGAUGAAGGACGGGACGAACACCGAUAUGCUUCGGGGAGCUGUAAGCAGGCUUUGAUCCGGAGAUUUCUGAACGGGGAAACCC
RNAcentral lists this ribosomal RNA (83 nucleotides) under Bacillus pumilus. Its description in RNAcentral is "partial 23S ribosomal RNA". It matches the Rfam family "Bacterial large subunit ribosomal RNA", at positions 47 to 129 of the family's 2925-position model. The record is from RNAcentral. Lineage: Bacteria; Bacillati; Bacillota; Bacilli; Caryophanales; Bacillaceae.